This 702-nucleotide ribosomal RNA is filed under the name uncultured bacterium. RNAcentral's name for it is "bacterial SSU rRNA". It matches the Rfam family "Bacterial small subunit ribosomal RNA", at positions 9 to 694 of the family's 1533-position model. The record is from RNAcentral.
GAGUUUGAUCCUGGCUCAGGACGAACGCUGGCGGCGUGCCUAAUACAUGCAAGUAGAACGCUGACUACUUUAGCUUGCUAGAGUAGAAGGAGUUGCGAACGGGUGAGUAACGCAUAGGUAACCUGCCUACUAGCGGGGGAUAACUAUUGGAAACGAUAGCUAAUACCGCAUAACAGUGUUUAACACAUGUUAGAUGCUUGAAAGAUGCAAUUGCAUCACUAGUAGAUGGACCUGCGUUGUAUUAGCUAGUUGGUGGGGUAACGGCCCACCAAGGCGACGAUACAUAGCCGACCUGAGAGGGUGAUCGGCCACACUGGGACUGAGACACGGCCCAGACUCCUACGGGAGGCAGCAGUAGGGAAUCUUCGGCAAUGGGGGCAACCCUGACCGAGCAACGCCGCGUGAGUGAAGAAGGUUUUCGGAUCGUAAAGCUCUGUUGUAAGAGAAGAACGUGUGUGAGAGUGGAAAGUUCACACAGUGACGGUAACUUACCAGAAAGGGACGGCUAACUACGUGCCAGCAGCCGCGGUAAUACGUAGGUCCCGAGCGUUGUCCGGAUUUAUUGGGCGUAAAGCGAGCGCAGGCGGUUUAAUAAGUCUGAAGUUAAAGGCAGUGGCUUAACCAUUGUUCGCUUUGGAAACUGUUAAACUUGAGUGCAGAAGGGGAGAGUGGAAUUCCAUGUGUAGCGGUGAAAUGCGUAGA